RNAcentral lists this ribosomal RNA (472 nucleotides) under uncultured bacterium. Its description in RNAcentral is "bacterial SSU rRNA". It matches the Rfam family "Bacterial small subunit ribosomal RNA", at positions 355 to 825 of the family's 1533-position model. The record is from RNAcentral.
UGAGGAAUCUUGCGCAAUGGGCGAAAGCCUGACGCAGCAACGCCGCGUGGAGGAUGAAGGUCUUCGGAUCGUAAACUCCUGUCAGAUGGGGCGAAGGUCCACUGCCUAAUACGCAGUGGUCUUGACGGUACCAUCAGAGGAAGCCACGGCUAACUCUGUGCCAGCAGCCGCGGUAAUACAGAGGGUGCAAGCGUUGCUCGGAAUCACUGGGCGUAAAGGGUGCGUAGGCGGCCUCGUAAGUCUGACGUGAAAGCCCCGGGCUCAGCCCGGGAAGUGCGCUAGAAACUGUGAGGCUCGAGUGCCGGAGGGGAGAGUGGAAUUCCUGGUGUAGCGGUGAAAUGCGUAGAUAUCAGGAGGAAUACCGGUGGCGAAAGCGACUCUCUGGACGGCAACUGACGCUGAGGCACGAAAGCGUGGGGAGCAAACAGGAUUAGAUACCCACGUAGUCCCUGAGCGGGCUGGCAAGGCGCAU